CUACGGGGCGCACCAGCUACGAAACUUCUACAAUGCACGCAAGUGUGAUAGAGGGACCCCCAGUGCUUAUACAAUGUAUAGGCUUUUGCCAAAGGUAGAUUCUUUGGCGAAUAAGUGAUGGGCAAGACCGGUGCCAGCAGCCGCGGUAAUACCGGCGUCACGAGUGGCAAUCGCGUUUAUUGGGUCUAAAGCGUUCGUAGCCGGUUUAGUAAAUCUUUUGUGAAAUUGUCGGGCUUAACUCGACACCGUGCAGAGGACACUGCUAAACUUGUGACCGGGAGGGGCCAGAAGUAUUUCAGGAGGAGCGGUAAAAUGUUAUAAUUCUCGAAAGACUACCAAUGGCGAAGGCAUCUGGCCAGAACGGAUCUGACGGUGAGGAACGAAGGCUAGGGGAGCGAACUGGAUUAGAUACCCGCGUAGUC
RNAcentral lists this ribosomal RNA (422 nucleotides) under uncultured archaeon. RNAcentral's name for it is "partial 16S ribosomal RNA". It matches the Rfam family "Archaeal small subunit ribosomal RNA", at positions 323 to 746 of the family's 1478-position model. The record is from RNAcentral.